RNAcentral lists this ribosomal RNA (677 nucleotides) under uncultured bacterium. RNAcentral describes it as "bacterial SSU rRNA". It matches the Rfam family "Bacterial small subunit ribosomal RNA", at positions 27 to 707 of the family's 1533-position model. The record is from RNAcentral.
GACUGAACGCUGGCGGCNCUCCUGAACACAUGCAAGUCGAGCGGGAAGCUUUUUAAGGAUUCUUCGGAUGAAUUAAAAAGUGGAGAGCGGCGGACGGGUGAGUAACGCGUGAGAAACCUGCCCUAUACAGGGGGAUAGCCAUUGGAAACGAUGAUUAAUACCCCAUAUGACCACAGUAUCGCAUGAUACAGCGGUGAAAACUCCGGUGGUAUAGGAUGGCCUCGCGUCUGAUUAGCUAGUUGGUGGGGUAACGGCCUACCAAGGCGACGAUCAGUAGCCGGCCUGAGAGGGUGACCGGCCACACUGGAACUGAGACACGGUCCAGACUCCUACGGGAGGCAGCAGUGGGGAAUAUUGCACAAUGGGCGAAAGCCUGAUGCAGCGACGCCGCGUGAACGAUGAAGGCUUUCGAGUCGUAAAGUUCUGUUCUUGGGGAAGAUAACGACGGUACCCAAGGAGAAAGCACCGGCUAAAUACGUGCCAGCAGCCGCGGUAAUACGUAUGGUGCAAGCGUUGUCCGGAAUUACUGGGCGUAAAGAGUUCGUAAGCGGUUAGAUUAGUCAGAAGUGAAAGGCUACGGCUCANCCGUAGUAAGCUUUUGAAACUGUCUAACUUGAGUACUGGAGAGGAAAGCGGAAUCCCUAGUGUAGCGGUGAAUGCGUAGAUUUUAGAAGAAC